RNAcentral lists this long non-coding RNA (226 nucleotides) under Elaeis guineensis (African oil palm). Its description in RNAcentral is "long non-coding RNA (EGUI_LNC065111)". Lineage: Eukaryota; Viridiplantae; Streptophyta; Magnoliopsida; Arecales; Arecaceae. The record is from RNAcentral.
GGGUCAUCAUUUCUAGAUGGUUACAUUAAUUGGUAUAGAAAGUUUUUUCUAUGCUACCAACUUAGGUUCAAACCUGUGGGGUCACACGCAUUAGAAGAUUUGAUCAGAUCUGAUGGCUGAAGAGUCCAAUUGGAUUGUGACUCUGGUGAAGAGUCCUACUUGGACUAAGACUCUAUGGGAGAGUCCCAUUAGGUUAGGGACUCUAUCAUUUAUAAAGAAUUAAUCA